UUCCGUUUGGAGAAGUUGCAAGGACUUACAAUGAUGUAGAAUUAAAGGCCGAAAACAGCUGUAGACGUUUAAUGAUCCCAUAUUUAGAAAAGGUGUGAUAGAUUUAUGUUUACAGACGUGGGGAUGUUCAGGGUAACCUUGCACCUCCUCCUACCUCCUAAAGCCAAACGCAUCCGCUGGAAGGAAGUGCGUAAAGACUGACCGACGGGGUUCAGCUACUGAUCGAUGAACGAUGGCAGCACGGCUUGGAAACGUGAGGACUCAGCUUGUUGACAGACUGUCCCUAGAAGUUAUUAAUCAGAUCCUGGACCGUCUGUUCGAGGAUGGUGUCUUAAACGAGGGAGAGAAAGACGGCAUAAUCCAGGCCAACCAAAAAAGAUCUGACAAGGCACGUGACCUCAUUGACAUAGUGAGGAAAAAAGGAGACGUAGCCAGCGAGAAGAUGCUUGACAUCCUUCAGGAUAGAGACCCGAUGCUUUGUUCAUCCUUGGGUCUCCAGUCUCAAUGAGCCAUUAAACCAGGUGCUGUGUUCCAGGAGGAGCAGAGUUGAUCCACAGUCGUCUCCAAAACCAAGACACUGAACGGAGAAAAGGAAGACUGUGGAUUCAUCCUCAUCAAUUUGACUGACUGGUGUCAUAUAAACUGUGACACGAUUUUCAGAAUUGGCAUCACACCAUAUAAUGCGACCAUAAUAACAUCCUAAGACUACUUGUCCCUUUAUAGACUUAGAAUUAUGUGUUGUAUUUCAGUUCAACUUUUAUAAUUUUGUAGUAAAAGUUUGACUAAACUGA
This is a long non-coding RNA of Sphaeramia orbicularis (orbiculate cardinalfish), 791 nucleotides long. RefSeq lists it as uncharacterized. The record is from RefSeq and is a predicted model, not a curated record. NCBI's taxonomy places the organism in Eukaryota, Metazoa, Chordata, Actinopteri, Kurtiformes, Apogonidae. The transcript is spliced from 3 exons.